AACGCUAGCUACAGGCUUAACACAUGCAAUUCGAGGGGAAACGACAUCGAAAGCUUGCUUUUGAUGGGCGUCGACCGGCGCACGGGUGAGUAACGCGUAUCCAACCUGCCCACCACUUGGGGAUAACCUUGCGAAAGUAAGACUAAUACCCAAUGAUAUCUCUAGAAGACAUCUGAAAGAGAUUAAAGAUUUAUCGGUGAUGGAUGGGGAUGCGUCUGAUUAGCUUGUUGGCGGGGUAACGGCCCACCAAGGCUACGAUCAGUAGGGGUUCUGAGAGGAAGGUCCCCCACAUUGGAACUGAGACACGGUCCAAACUCCUACGGGAGGCAGCAGUGAGGAAUAUUGGUCAAUGGACGAGAGUCUGAACCAGCCAAGUAGCGUGCAGGAUGACGGCCCUAUGGGUUGUAAACUGCUUUUAUAAGGGAAUAAAGUGAGUCUCGUGAGACUUUUUGCAUGUACCUUAUGAAUAAGGACCGGCUAAUUCCGUGCCAGCAGCCGCGGUAAUACGGAAGGUCCGGGCGUUAUCCGGAUUUAUUGGGUUUAAAGGGAGCGUAGGCCGGAGAUUAAGCGUGUUGUGAAAUGUAGAUGCUCAACAUCUGCACUGCAGCGCGAACUGGUUUCCUUGAGUACGCACAAAGUGGGCGGAAUUCGUGGUGUAGCGGUGAAAUGCUUAGAUAUCACGAAGAACUCCGAUUGCGAAGGCAGCUCACUGGAGCGCAACUGACGCUGAAGCUCGAAAGUGCGGGUAUCGAACAGGAUUAGAUACCCUGGUAGUCCGCACGGUAAACGAUGGAUGCCCGCUGUUGGUCUGAAUAGGUCAGCGGCC
This 826-nucleotide ribosomal RNA is filed under the name uncultured bacterium. RNAcentral's name for it is "bacterial SSU rRNA". It matches the Rfam family "Bacterial small subunit ribosomal RNA", at positions 32 to 848 of the family's 1533-position model. The record is from RNAcentral.